RNAcentral lists this long non-coding RNA (204 nucleotides) under Hordeum vulgare. Its description in RNAcentral is "long non-coding RNA (HVUL_LNC015937)". The record is from RNAcentral. Lineage: Eukaryota; Viridiplantae; Streptophyta; Magnoliopsida; Poales; Poaceae.
ACAACGUACCAACGAAGGAGGCCCAAUGGGCAGGGUUAAUUACGGGCUUAGCCCAAGUUAUCUUACCUAUCUUAGAGUCCAAGUUAUAUUAGAGUCCAAGUUAUCUAGGGUUUAGUGGAGGCUGUCCUCCUAUAUAAACACAUGUACCCCUUCGAUAUUAAGCAGACAAUAAACAGUAUAUUAUGUUGUCGUCUCCCUCAGGAG